Molecule: ribosomal RNA, 409 nt
Filed under: uncultured bacterium
Lineage: Bacteria
Description: bacterial SSU rRNA
Rfam family: Bacterial small subunit ribosomal RNA
Source: RNAcentral
AACGAACGCUGGCGGCGUGGAUUAGGCAUGCAAGUCGAACGAAAAUCAGCGUUAUAGCAAUAUAGUGCUGAGGACAGUGGCGAAAGGGUGAGUAACACGUGGGCAAUCUGCCCUCAAGUUGGGGAUAGCUCUGCGAAAGCGGAAUUAAUACCGAAAUGUGGUCGUCCCGGGCCUCCGGGACUAUCUAAAGACGGGGACCGUAAGGCCUGUCGCUUGAGGAUGAGCCCGCGCCUAUCAGCUUGUUGGUGAGGUAACGGCUCACCAAGGCUAAGACGGGUAGCUGGUCUGAGAGGAUGGUCAGCCACACUGGGACUGAGAUACUGCCCAGACUCCUACGGGAGGCUGCGGUCGAGGAUCAUUUGCAAUGGGCGAAAGCCUGACAAUGCGACGCCGCGUGCAGGAUGAAGGG